GAUCCUGGCUCAGGAUGAACGCUGGCGGCGUGCCUAAUACAUGCAAGUCGAACGCUUUGUGGUUCAACUGAUUUGAAGAGCUUGCUCAGAUAUGACGAUGGACAUUGCAAAGAGUGGCGAACGGGUGAGUAACACGUGGGAAACCUACCUCUUAGCAGGGGAUAACAUUUGGAAACAGAUGCUAAUACCGUAUAACAAUGACAACCGCAUGGUUGUUAUUUAAAAGAUGGUUCUGCUAUCACUAAGAGAUGGUCCCGCGGUGCAUUAGCUAGUUGGUAAGGUAAUGGCUUACCAAGGCGAUGAUGCAUAGCCGAGUUGAGAGACUGAUCGGCCACAAUGGGACUGAGACACGGCCCAUACUCCUACGGGAGGCAGCAGUAGGGAAUCUUCCACAAUGGGCGAAAGCCUGAUGGAGCAACGCCGCGUGUGUGAUGAAGGGUUUCGGCUCGUAAAACACUGUUGUAAGAGAAGAAUGACAUUGAGAGUAACUGUUCAAUGUGUGACGGUAUCUUACCAGAAAGGAACGGCUAAAUACGUGCCAGCAGCCGCGGUAAUACGUAUGUUCCAAGCGUUAUCCGGAUUUAUUGGGCGUAAAGCGAGCGCAGACGGUUAUUUAAGUCUGAAGUGAAAGCCCUCAGCUCAACUGAGGAAUUGCUUUGGAAACUGGAUGACUUGAGUGCAGUAGAGGAAAGUGGAACUCCAUGUGUAGCGGUGAAAUGCGUAGAUAUAUGGAAGAACACCAGUGGCGAAGGCGGCUUUCUGGACUGUAACUGACGUUGAGGCUCGAAAGUGUGGGUAGCAAACAGGAUUAGAUACCCUGGUAGUCCACACCGUAAACGAUGAGUGCUAGGUGUUUGAGGGUUUCCGCCCUUAAGUGCCGCAGCUAACGCAUUAAGCACUCCGCCUGGGGAGUACGACCGCAAGGUUGAAACUCAAAGGAAUUGACGGGGACCCGCACAAGCGGUGGAGCAUGUGGUUUAAUUCGAAGCAACGCGAAGAACCUUACCAGGUCUUGACAUCCCUUGACAACUCCAGAGUUGGAGCGUUCCCUUCGGGGACAAGGUGACAGGUGGUGCAUGGUUGUCGUCAGCUCGUGUCGUGAGAUGUUGGGUUAAGUCCCGCAACGAGCGCAACCCUUAUUACUAGUUGCCAGCAUUUAGUUGGGCACUCUAGUGAGACUGCCGGUGACAAACCGGAGGAAGGUGGGGAUGACGUAAAAUCAUCAUGCCCCUUAUGACCUGGGCUACACACGUGCUACAAUGGCGUAUACAACGAGUUGCCAACCCGCGAGGGUGAGCUAAUCUCUUAAAGUACGUCUCAGUUCGGAUUGUAGGCUGCAACUCGCCUACAUGAAAUCGGAAUCGCUAGUAAUCGCGGAUCAGCACGCCGCGGUGAAUACGUUCCCGGGUCUUGUACACACCGCCCGUCACACCAUGAGAGUUUGUAACACCCAAAGCCGGUGGGGUAACCUUCGGGAGCCAGCCGUCUAAGGUGGGACAGAUGAUUAGGGUGAAGU
This 1516-nucleotide ribosomal RNA is filed under the name bacterium LF48. Its description in RNAcentral is "bacterial SSU rRNA". It matches the Rfam family "Bacterial small subunit ribosomal RNA". The record is from RNAcentral.